AAAAAAAUUUUGAGGAAAAAAAAAUUUGAGGAAAAAAUAUUUUGAAGGAAAAAAAAAUUUCAGUUUGGACUUGUAAUAUUUUUCAAAAUUUGAAUAUCGAAAAAGGAAAUGGAAACCGAAUAAGGAAAUGAAAAUCCAAUAAGGAAAUGAAAAUCCAAUAAGGAAAUGAAAAUCCAAUAAGGAAAUGGAAACUGAAUAAGGAAAAAGUAACCGAAUAAGGAAAUGAAAAUCCAAUAAGGAAAUGAAAAUCCAAUAAGGAAAUGGAAACUGAAUAAGGAAAUAGAAACCGAAUAAGGAAAUAGAAACCGAAAAAGGAAAUGAAUAUUGAAAAAGGAAAAAGAAACCGAAUUAGGAAAUGGAAAUCGAAUAAGGAAAUGGAAAUCGAAUAAGGAAACGAAAAUCCAAUAAGGAAAUAGAAACCCAAUAAGGAAAUAGAAACCCAAUAAGGAAAUAGAAACCGAAAAAGGAAAUGAACAUUGAAAAAGGAAAAAGAAACCGAAUAAGGAAAUGGAAAUUGAAUAAGGAAAUGGAAAUCGAAUAAGGAAAAGAAAAUCCAAUAAGGAAAUAGAAACCGAAAAAGGAAAUGAACAUUGAAAAAGGAAAAAGAAACCGAAUAAGGAAAUGAAAAUCGAAUAAGGAAAUGGAAAUCGAAUAAGGAAAUAGAAACUGUAUAAGGAAAUGAAAAUCGAAUAAGGAAAAAGAAACCGAAUAAGGAAACGAAAAAAAAAUUUGAAAACACUUUUUGAGGAAAAAAAAAUUUGAGG
This 764-nucleotide long non-coding RNA is filed under the name Mytilus galloprovincialis (Mediterranean mussel). The record is from RNAcentral. Lineage: Eukaryota; Metazoa; Mollusca; Bivalvia; Mytilida; Mytilidae.